GACGAACGCUGGCGGCGUGCCUAAUACAUGCAAGUAGAACGCUGAAGGAGGAGCUUGCUUCUCUGGAUGAGUUGCGAACGGGUGAGUAACGCGUAGGUAACCUGCCUUGUAGCGGGGGAUAACUAUUGGAAACGAUAGCUAAUACCGCAUAAGAGUAGAUGUUGCAUGACAUUUGCUUAAAAGGUGCAAUUGCAUCACUACCAGAUGGACCUGCGUUGUAUUAGCAAGUUGGUGGGGUAACGGCUCACCAAGGCGGAGAUACAUAGCCGACCUGAGAGGGUGGUCAGCCACACUGGGACUGAGACACGGCCCAGGCUCCUACAGGGGGCAGCAGGAGGGAAACUUCGGCAAUGGACGGAAGUCUGGCCGAACAACGCCGCGGGAGUGGAGAAGGUUUUCGGGACGUAAAGCUCUGUUGUAAGGGAAGAACGAGUGUGAGAGUGGAAAGUUCACGCUGUGACGGUAUCUUACCAGAAAGCGACGGCUAACUACGUG
Molecule: ribosomal RNA, 495 nt
Filed under: uncultured bacterium
Lineage: Bacteria
Description: partial 16S ribosomal RNA
Rfam family: Bacterial small subunit ribosomal RNA
Source: RNAcentral